GUUUUUGUUUUUAUUUUUGCCUUGACAGCUCGUGCCCUCGGUCCUUGAUGGUCAACACGGAGGCAGGGACGGGCACUCUAUCAGCCAGAAAAACUGAUUUCCGCUGAAAGACAACCCUCAUGAAUGGCAACCAGCCUGCUCCUUCUCCUUCUCCUUUGCUGUGGCAUAUGUCACAGUGGCACGUUGGAAAAUUAUGAAUAAUAUCCGUAACUUUAGGCGAGACACACUCACACAAUGGGAUGUUGAGAUAUUCGAAGGCAGCUUGCAGUGAAAAAUCGAGGCGGCACUCCACUCCUUGCCACUCUGCGCCAAGUUGUGAUUGCUGUGUGGGGCGUGCCGUCAGAUACAACUUCCGACGACAUCCGACAGAUGUUUCUACCAAGUACAGAAGGGAGACAGGGAACAGAGGACACACGCACAGGAGUUGCGCCCGCUUGCAAAACAAUUGUUGGGCAAAUUUC
RNAcentral lists this long non-coding RNA (461 nucleotides) under Drosophila guanche. The record is from RNAcentral. Lineage: Eukaryota; Metazoa; Arthropoda; Insecta; Diptera; Drosophilidae.